Manihot esculenta (cassava) is the source of this 164-nucleotide long non-coding RNA. RefSeq lists it as uncharacterized. The record is from RefSeq and is a predicted model, not a curated record. NCBI's taxonomy places the organism in Eukaryota, Viridiplantae, Streptophyta, Magnoliopsida, Malpighiales, Euphorbiaceae. The transcript has 2 exons.
AUUUCUCUCAAUUCGGCAGUUUCCUCCAACCUCGGCGCAAGGCUUCGGACCUGAUCUGUAACCCAAAGAAUACCAUAUAGCAGAUCUGAAUUAAAAAAAAAAGAAGAGAGCACACCAUCGCAGAUCAUGCUUGAGGACCUCCGGAAUCGCACCAAACCAUCGCA